AGGAUGAACGCUAGCGACAGGCCUAACACAUGCAAGUCGAGGGCAGCACAAGGAGCAAUCUGAGGUGGCGACCGGCGCACGGGUGAGUAACACGUAUGCAACCUGCCUGUAAGCGGGGAAUAACCCGUUGAAAGACGGACUAAUACCGCAUAAUACUAAAUUACUGCAUGGUAAUUUAUUUAAACAUUUAUGGCUUACAGAUGGGCAUGCGCAUGAUUAGCUAGUUGGAGAGGUAACGGCUCCCCAAGGCAACGAUCAUUAGGGGUUCUGAGAGGAAGGUCCCCCCACACUGGUACUGAGACACGGACCAGACUCCUACGGGAGGCAGCAGUGAGGAAUAUUGGUCAAUGGACGAGAGUCUGAACCAGCCAAGUCGCGUGCAGGAAGAAUUGUCCUAUGGAUUGUAAACUGCUUUUGCAGGGGAAUAAAGUGCAUCACGUGUGAUGUUUUGUAUGUACUCUGCGAAUAAGGAUCGGCUAACUCCGUGCCAGCCGCGGC
RNAcentral lists this ribosomal RNA (498 nucleotides) under uncultured bacterium. RNAcentral's name for it is "bacterial SSU rRNA". It matches the Rfam family "Bacterial small subunit ribosomal RNA", at positions 26 to 518 of the family's 1533-position model. The record is from RNAcentral.